ACACGGCGCGAUUAUGAGUGGUAC
RNAcentral lists this non-coding RNA (24 nucleotides) under Arabidopsis thaliana (thale cress). The record is from RNAcentral. Lineage: Eukaryota; Viridiplantae; Streptophyta; Magnoliopsida; Brassicales; Brassicaceae.